Molecule: ribosomal RNA, 253 nt
Filed under: uncultured bacterium
Lineage: Bacteria
Description: partial 16S ribosomal RNA
Rfam family: Bacterial small subunit ribosomal RNA
Source: RNAcentral
UACGGAGGGGGCUAGCGUUGUUCGGAAUUACUGGGCGUAAAGCGCGCGUAGGCGGCUUUGUAAGUUAGAGGUGAAAGCCCGAAGCUCAACUUCGGAAUUGCCUUUAAAACUGCAGAGCUAGAAUUGUGGAGAGGUGAGUGGAAUUCCGAGUGUAGAGGUGAAAUUCGUAGAUAUUCGGAAGAACACCAGUGGCGAAGGCGACUCACUGGACACAUAUUGACGCUGAGGUGCGAAAGCGUGGGGAGCAAACGGG